AACGGUCUAUACCUGCGGUACCUGCGGAGGGAUCAUUAUCAAUUUACAGCGGACUUCGGUCCUGUCUGCACCCUUGUCUUUUGCGUACUAUAUGUUUCCUCGGUGGGCUUGCCUGCCGAUAGGACACUUAUAAACUCUUUUGUAAUUGCAAUCGGCGUCAGAAAACUAUAAUAGUUACAACUUUCAACAACGGAUCUCU
Molecule: unclassified non-coding RNA, 199 nt
Filed under: soil metagenome
Description: partial contains 5.8S ribosomal RNA, internal transcribed spacer 2, and large subunit ribosomal RNA
Source: RNAcentral